Molecule: small nuclear RNA, 66 nt
Organism: Dipodomys ordii (Ord's kangaroo rat)
Lineage: Eukaryota; Metazoa; Chordata; Mammalia; Rodentia; Heteromyidae
Source: Ensembl
GUGCUCGUUUCUGCAGCACAUCCACUAAAAUUGCAAUGCCACAGAGAAGAUCAGCAAGGCCCCUGC